ACAUGUGUGUACGUAUGCGAUCAGAAGAAGGAGCCAGGAGAGCUCAAACCCUAGUUCAGCAAAUCCUCCAAAUCGAAGCUCAAAUCAAGCCCGAAUCGUCUGCAUGAUUACAAAUUCGUGAUCGCCUAGUCGUGGGGAUCAUAAGGUGUACCUUAUAUGCUUGCGAAGUUGACUCUAAACAAGCUAGGUGGGAGCUUGAAAAGGGACGGGUCAAACGGAUCAUGGAUGCGAAGAAUGUUUGCGCGGACGCGAGGUAAGUAUAACUUACACUAGUCAUAUAUUUUAGAAUGUUCUUUUGUCGUGUUGACUACGAAUAAGACAAAUGAUAAUUUAGUCACACGUUGACAAUAAUCGUUAGUUUUAAAAGACGCUUUCCCGCGUAAGACAUAAAGAGCCGAAAGUGGUAAUAAACGGUUUAUAAAUAAAAUGAGCAUACGGUGUUAAAAAGAGCGAGUCAUGUAGAUGAGAUGAUAAUAAAUAUUAUCUCGCAAAGAUAAACGGUCAAUUCGGCCAAACGGGUCAAAAGGUGUAGACAUCACCUUUUGACAAUAUCGACUAAUGAUUCUGGUGUCGAGUUAUAUGUUUACAGGAGUAGGUAUCCAAUGGAUACUCGCAUCGCUCUUAAUUAGCAAUUAUAAAGCAAGGUAUUAAACCGGGUUAGUAAGUUGAUCCGAGCCAGGUAUGUAUAAUAUAUUAACUCAUCAUGUAGAACUUGAAGUUCUAUGAAAGUUAGGCAAAAUAAAAAAAAGAAGGGCAUUCAGUUACCUUAAUAGGUAAACCGAAGGAUUUAAAUUAUUUAGACAGAAUGUUUUGAAAACAAGAUUUGGUUAAAAAUGAGAAAUUAGAGUCAAACAACAGGUUUGUUUGAUAAAAUCACGAACGGGUCAAAUUUGGUAAAAAGGGGUAAUAAGCCGAAGACUUAAAAGUCUUAAAUUUUGUUAAUCCAGAUGUUGGGUCUUGACUCCAUUUGAUGGAGGUUCAAUUUACAAUCACGUAGGAAGAAACGGUAGGUCAAACGGACAAGCGGAUUAAAAGUUAUGAAGGUUUCCGUUUUAGAAAUCGGCAAACUUGGAAAAUCUUGCAGAGGCCACCGUAAGUUACGGUAGCUACCGUAACUUACGGUAGCCUUAAAAAUCUUUACGCCUUAAACCCACUGAGUUACGGUGGAAGAUUCAACAUUCAGGGGCUACCGUAAAUUACGGUAGCCACCGUAAUUUACGGUAGACCCUGUAACAAAAUUUAUUUUAAUCAGUUUCGUUUCCCAGAACUCGUUAGACACGUUUAUAACCCCCGUAAGACUAAAGCAUUUCUUGUUUAUGAAAUGUAGGUACAUUUUGGAUGCCGGAAGACGAUCAAGCUCAUUGGAGAACCGAACACGAUAAAGAUACAUGCUUCCGCACAGUGUCUCGUCGUAAAUUUUAAACGACGAAUUCAAUUACGUUAUGUCGAAUAACUUAUGAUUUGUAAAAGUUUUAAUAAACCCGUAUUUUUAUAGUAUGUGUAGUCUUAUCUACACAACUACUUGUUGGUAAUUAUAUGUAAAACCGUUAAAUAGUAAUUAGGAUGUUACAGUGAAUAAGGAAUACGUGACUUGUU
Molecule: long non-coding RNA, 1596 nt
Filed under: Helianthus annuus (common sunflower)
Lineage: Eukaryota; Viridiplantae; Streptophyta; Magnoliopsida; Asterales; Asteraceae
Description: hypothetical non coding rna
Source: RNAcentral